GCCUUCCCUUCCUCCAUGGGACAGCUCAGUUGGUUAGAGCGUGGCGCUGAUAAUGCCAAGAUUACAGGUUCGAUCCCUGUAUGGGGCA
This is a non-coding RNA of Podarcis lilfordi (Lilford's wall lizard), 88 nucleotides long. NCBI's taxonomy places the organism in Eukaryota, Metazoa, Chordata, Lepidosauria, Squamata, Lacertidae. The record is from the annotation of a GenBank genome assembly.